Molecule: long non-coding RNA, 977 nt
Filed under: Capsicum annuum
Lineage: Eukaryota; Viridiplantae; Streptophyta; Magnoliopsida; Solanales; Solanaceae
Description: long non-coding RNA (CANN_LNC010171)
Source: RNAcentral
UUAGCCUAGUUUCGAGAACUAAUUAUCUAUUUCGUACACUUUUAGUCCUUUUUCCUGUAAAUGAGCUAACAAAUGUGAUUAGGAAAGUUUCAGGUAUAAAUGAUGCAAAAUACAGCAAUUUAUGGCUUACUUGACGCAAAAGAAAGCUCACAAACGAGAUGGAAAGGAGCUGGACGCAUAAAGGACUAAAUCUGCUGCAUGGAAAAUCUGUCCCGGGCUAAAACAGCAUUUCUGAAGACUUUGGGACUUAAAGACACAAAGCUGGAUUUUUGCCAUAAUACAUUAACCUAGUGCAAUUAGGUUAUGUGUUUCAUCAUUCUAUUUGGAUUAUAAUUUUGUAACCUUACCCUAGUACAAUUGGGUCAAGGAUUUCAUUAGUAUAUUAGGAUUUGGUUAUUUAUUUUAUUAGUUGAGUAGGAGUAGGAUAGGAGUAUUAUAAAUACCCUAUCAUGUUAGAGAUUUUAAAAAGGGAGGGGGGAGACAUUCUGACAAUUCAUUCAUCUCCUUACAAUUAAGACAUCUUCCUACAACCCAUUCUCAAGUCUUCAUUCUUCUACUCUUAAAUUCCACAACAAGAGAAUCGUUACUUGCUACGGAACCACUAAAACCACACGCCAAACACCUACUAUUCACGCCAUCCACCAUGCAAAACGUGAUAUCCUUCGCAUUCAUGGGUAACUAAAUCUCUUAGUUGGGGUUAUGGAAGCCGAAUGAGUUACUAUCUAUAGCUAUGAGUUUGUGAGUUCAAGACAAGUAUAUUGCUUAUAUCAUUAUUCUCUUCAUCUUAAAUCUACAUUCUUUGCGGUUCAAACACAAGAACACGCCAUUCUAACAUCUAACCUGUUCGAGAGAAAGGUUAUUUGUCUAGAAAAGAAGACGCAUAGACCAACGCCAGUCUAACAUCUGACUUGUUCGAGAGAAAAGUUAUUUGUCUGGAAAAGAGAUAAUGUCAAGGUAGUAGGACACCCUUUCCUAUU